GCGCCCGUAGCUCAGUGGAUAGAGCACCAGACUCCGGAUCUGGGAGCGCGGGUUCAACUCCUGCCGGGCGCACCA
This 75-nucleotide transfer RNA is filed under the name Bacillota bacterium. Its description in RNAcentral is "Firmicutes bacterium (anaerobic digester metagenome) tRNA-Arg". It matches the Rfam family "tRNA". From Rfam's summary of the family: Transfer RNA (tRNA) molecules are approximately 80 nucleotides in length. Their secondary structure includes four short double-helical elements and three loops (D, anti-codon, and T loops). Further hydrogen bonds mediate the characteristic L-shaped molecular structure. tRNAs have two regions of fundamental functional importance: the anti-codon, which is responsible for specific mRNA codon recognition, and the 3' end, to which the tRNAs corresponding amino acid is attached (by aminoacyl-tRNA synthetases). tRNAs cope with the degeneracy of the genetic code in two manners: having more than one tRNA (with a specific anti-codon) for a particular amino acid; and 'wobble' base-pairing, i.e. permitting non-standard base-pairing at the 3rd anti-codon position. The record is from RNAcentral. Lineage: Bacteria; Bacillati; Bacillota.